AUUGAACGCUGGCGGCAGGCCUAACACAUGCAAGUCGAGCGGAUGAAGGGAGCUUGCUCCUGGAUUCAGCGGCGGACGGGUGAGUAAUGCCUAGGAAUCUGCCUGGUAGUGGGGGAUAACGUCCGGAAACGGGCGCUAAUACCGCAUACGUCCUGAGGGAGAAAGUGGGGGAUCUUCGGACCUCACGCUAUCAGAUGAGCCUAGGUCGGAUUAGCUAGUUGGUGGGGUAAAGGCCUACCAAGGCGACGAUCCGUAACUGGUCUGAGAGGAUGAUCAGUCACACUGGAACUGAGACACGGUCCAGACUCCUACGGGAGGCAGCAGUGGGGAAUAUUGGACAAAGGGCGAAAGCCUGAUCCAGCCAUGCCGCGUGUGUGAAGAAGGUCUUCGGAUUGUAAAGCACUUUAAGUUGGGAGGAAGGGCAGUAAGUUAAUACCGUGCUGUUUUGACGUUACCAACAGAAUAAGCACCGGCUAACUUCGUG
Molecule: ribosomal RNA, 484 nt
Filed under: uncultured bacterium
Lineage: Bacteria
Description: partial 16S ribosomal RNA
Rfam family: Bacterial small subunit ribosomal RNA
Source: RNAcentral